UGGAUCCAGACUUUGAUCAUGGCUCAGGACGAACGCUGGCGGCGCGCCUAACACAUGCAAGUCGAACGGAGGUAAGACGGAGCUUGCUCUGACUUACCUUAGUGGCGGACGGGUGAGUAACACGUGAGCAACCUGCCUUUCAGAGGGGGAUAACGUUUGGAAACGAACGCUAAUACCGCAUAACGCGGGGAAGGGGCAUCCCUUUUUCGCCAAAGAAUUAUCGCUGAAAGAUGGGCUCGCGACCGAUUAGAUAGUUGGUGGGGUAACGGCUCACCAAGUCGACGAUCGGUAGCCGGACUGAGAGGUUGAACGGCCACAUUGGGACCGAGACACGGCCCAGACUCCUACGGGAGGCAGCAGUGGGGAAUAUUGCACAAUGGGGGAAACCCUGAUGCAGCGACGCCGCGUGAGGGAAGAAGGUUUUCGGAUUGUAAACCUCCGUCUUUGGUGACGAUAAUGACGGUAGCCAAAGAGGAAGCUACGGCUAACUACGUGCCAGCAGCCGCGGUAAUACGUAGGUGGCAAGCGUUGUCCGGAAUUACUGGGUGUAAAGGGAGCGUAGGCGGGAGGACAAGUUGAAUGUUUAAACUAUCGGCUUAACCGGUAAUCGCGUUCAAAACUGUUUUUCUUGAGUGAAGUAGAGGCAGGCGGAAUUCCUAGUGUAGCGGUGAAAUGCGUAGAUAUUAGGAGGAACACCAGUGGCGAAGGCGGCCUGCUGGGCUUUAACUGACGCUGAGGCUCGAAAGCGUGGGUAGCAAACAGGAUUAGAUACCCUGGUAGUCCACGCUGUAAACGAUGAUUACUAGGUGUGGGGGGACUGACCCCUUCCGUGCCGCAGUUAACACAAUAAGUAAUCCACCUGGGGAGUACGGCCGCAAGGUUGCAA
This 886-nucleotide ribosomal RNA is filed under the name uncultured Bacillota bacterium. RNAcentral's name for it is "bacterial SSU rRNA". It matches the Rfam family "Bacterial small subunit ribosomal RNA", at positions 1 to 899 of the family's 1533-position model. The record is from RNAcentral. Lineage: Bacteria; Bacillati; Bacillota.